AGAACGAACGCUGGCGGCAUGCCUAAUACAUGCAAGUCGAACGAGAUCUUCGGAUCUAGUGGCGCACGGGUGCGUAACGCGUGGGAAUCUACCCUUGGGUUCGGAAUAACAGUUAGAAAUGACUGCUAAUACCGGAUGAUGACGUAAGUCCAAAGAUUUAUCGCCCAAGGAUGAGCCCGCGUAAGAUUAGCUAGUUGGUGAGGUAAAGGCUCACCAAGGCUACGAUCUUUAGCUGGUCCGAGAGGAUGAUCAGCCACACUGGGACUGAGACACGGCCCAGACUCCUACGGGAGGCAGCAGUAGGGAAUAUUGGACAAUGGGCGAAAGCCUGAUCCAGCAAUGCCGCGUGAGUGAUGAAGGCCUUAGGGUUGUAAAGCUCUUUUACCCGAGAUGAUAAUGACAGUAUCGGGAGAAUAAGCUCCGGCUAACUCCGUG
RNAcentral lists this ribosomal RNA (435 nucleotides) under uncultured bacterium. RNAcentral describes it as "bacterial SSU rRNA". It matches the Rfam family "Bacterial small subunit ribosomal RNA", at positions 26 to 507 of the family's 1533-position model. The record is from RNAcentral.